GACGAACGCUGGCGGCGUGCCUAAUACAUGCAAGUAGAACGCUGAAGAGAGGAGCUUGCUCUUCUUGGAUUAGUUGCGAACGGGUGAGUAACGCGUAGGUAACCUGCCUUGUAGCGGGGGAUAACUAUUGGAAACGAUAGCUAAUACCGCAUAACAAUGGAUGACCCAUGUCAUUUAUUUGAAAGGGGCAAAUGCUCCACUACAAGAUGGACCUGCGUUGUAUUAGCUAGUAGGUUAGGUAACGGCUCACCUAGGCCACGAUACAUAGCCGACCUGAGAGGGUGAUCGGCCACACUGGGACUGGAACACGGCCCAGACCCCUACCGGAGGCAGCAGUAGGGAAUCCUCGGCAAUGGGGGCAACCCUGACCGAGCAACGCCGCGUGAGUGAAGAAGGUUUUCGGAUCGUAAAGCUCUGUUGUAAGUCAAGAACGAGUGUGAGAGUGGAAAGUUCACACUGUGACGGUAGCUUACCAGAAAGGGACGGCUAACUACGUG
Molecule: ribosomal RNA, 497 nt
Filed under: uncultured bacterium
Lineage: Bacteria
Description: partial 16S ribosomal RNA
Rfam family: Bacterial small subunit ribosomal RNA
Source: RNAcentral